This 547-nucleotide ribosomal RNA is filed under the name Fusarium sp. Fs027TNPB1-PB. Its description in RNAcentral is "eukaryotic LSU rRNA". The stretch from base 179 to 332 matches the Rfam family "5.8S ribosomal RNA". Lineage: Eukaryota; Fungi; Ascomycota; Sordariomycetes; Hypocreales; Nectriaceae. The record is from RNAcentral.
UCCGUAGGUGAACCUGCGGAGGGAUCAUUACCGAGUUUACAACUCCCAAACCCCUGUGAACAUACCAAUUGUUGCCUCGGCGGAUCAGCCCGCUCCCGGUAAAACGGGACGGCCCGCCAGAGGACCCCUAAACUCUGUUUCUAUAUGUAACUUCUGAGUAAAACCAUAAAUAAAUCAAAACUUUCAACAACGGAUCUCUUGGUUCUGGCAUCGAUGAAGAACGCAGCAAAAUGCGAUAAGUAAUGUGAAUUGCAGAAUUCAGUGAAUCAUCGAAUCUUUGAACGCACAUUGCGCCCGCCAGUAUUCUGGCGGGCAUGCCUGUUCGAGCGUCAUUUCAACCCUCAAGCCCAGCUUGGUGUUGGGACUCGCGAGUUAAACCGCGUUCCCCAAAUUGAUUGGCGGUCACGUCGAGCUUCCAUAGCGUAGUAGUAAAACCCUCGUUACUGGUAAUCGUCGCGGCCACGCCGUUAAACCCCAACUUCUGAAUGUUGACCUCGGAUCAUGUAGGAAUACCCGCUGAAUCCCCCGCAUAUCAAUAAGCGGAGGA